Passer domesticus (house sparrow) is the source of this 3608-nucleotide long non-coding RNA. RefSeq lists it as uncharacterized. Lineage: Eukaryota; Metazoa; Chordata; Aves; Passeriformes; Passeridae. The record is from RefSeq and is a predicted model, not a curated record. The transcript is spliced from 4 exons.
GUGCCCUAUGGACAGCAUCACCCAGCUGCUGGCCCAGGACUCCUGCAGGCCAGGGGUCCCUGUUGGGAUGGGGACUCCUUCCUUGUUCCCAAAGCCCUGCCCUCACGCCAGCCACAGACCCAGCCAGCACCAGAACAGCUCUGGUUUUGGAGCUUUGCACGUGGCCUCACAGUCCCAAAGUGAAGGGCCUUGGGGUGAGCUGCUCGUCUCUGUGCUUUAAUCCAGCCCUCCUGGUGAUGCCGUGGCAGAGAACACUUUGCUCAGAUCUGUUAAUUGAAAUUUAAUUGAAACUGGUUGACUGGGAGUUCUCUGAGGGCUUAAGGACUGGAGGAAUGACAGUCCACCGAGGAGAGCUCUGCACUGCAAGGCAGCAAUCCAGGCUCACCAGGGCCUGGGCUAAGGCUUAAAAUAGUUACCAAUUCUCUGAAAGCAGGCACAGCAAGGGUGUUUGUGGAUUGUGCUUCUUUUGGAAGAGAAACAAGAAAUGGACAGCGAUGGGAUUUUGGUGCAAUAACGAGCGAUGCAGGGACCCCAGGCAGUGCAAAGGAGAGCUCCUCAUUGCCAAAAACCCAGCCUUUUUCAGCAGUUAGCUGGUUACCUGUUCACAUGGUUCUAAGGCACAAGCCCAGGUCAACCAAGCACCAUACCCCACAAUGUGCACAUGCAGCAGUCACAGCGUGUCUCACAUGUCUCACGUGUCUCACAUGUCUCACGUGUCUCACAUCUCUCAUGUCUCUGUACCCCUAGCUGAGUCACUCUCUCACAGUUCCCUUCUCCUUAGCCUAAGGAACAGGCCAGAGCCAUGUCACAAGGCUGCCCUUACAAGUAAGCCUUGCUUAUCAGUAACAGGAUUUGAAGAGAAGGGGAUGGAGAGGAGUUGUCUGGAUUUAUCCUCUGGGCUUUGGAGGGAACGAUGGGAGAGCAAAGUUCUGCCUGCGUGAGAAACCAGGAAUCAGAACUGUGGAAUGGUCUGAAAGCAGGGAGAGGUGGUGGGAAGGUGGAGAUGGGUUUGCAGGGUGACAUGGUUGCAGGAAAGGGGGAACAGUUCGGGCUUUGCAUCCCAAGGAGGCACAAGAGCACAGUGACUAUCCAUUUAGGGACUCAGUUCCACUAGAAAUAUCCCACUGUUUGGGAGUUUUUGGGAACUCUUACUGGCAGUGUUGGAACCGUCAGACCUGAGGCUGAUGAGUGUUCUGUGGUUUCUCUGUGGCUGUUGAUUCAGCCUUGGAGGUGAAGUCCCACCACUCAGCCCUGGCUCCCUCCCCAUCGGCAUCUCCCCUUCCCCCGUGUGGGACUCAUUUCCCAGCACAUCUCCAGCUCUGGGAAUCCCUGGCAGAUUACAGCGGGCUCAGUGCACAGGGAGGUUACCUGUAACAGACACCCCACCCCUGACACAUCUGAGGGAAGGAAGUCCCCUUGUCCCUGGCUGCUGGCUGAAAUGCUACUGCCUGUUCCACCCACUGCAUGAAACCCCAAGUAAAUAACCCAAGCAGUUACAGAGUAGGAUUACCUUGAAAUUUGUUUCCCUCCUAUCACUGUGAUUUGGUUGUCUAUGGGCAUUAACUCCACAUUGUAAUAAGCAAAGCCUCUGAAAUACCUUCGUGAGAAUUAGGGUUCUAUAAAUUAACUGAUUACUGAUAAAGCCUAAUUAUAAAUUAGGUCUUAUUAUCAGAAGCUUGUGAGCAACUCUGAAUGAAUUAAAGCUGUAGGAGCAGGAGUAUUUCAGUUAACUCUGUGAACUCUGAUAAAGGUCUGAAGAGGGGUUGUGCUCUGCCCUGCUCCCAGGGAGCUUCUACAGAAGGACAGCCUGACACAGCCCCUGCCUCCUGAAGUCAGUUCUUUGCUCCUUUCCCAUUUGCCCAAGGAGUGAGGAGAUCUCUUCUCCAGGGGGGAGAUCACUUCUCACCUGGUUCAAUAACACCCCGAGGUCCCACUGCUACAAGCAGAGGUGCUCAGGGGAUGAAGCCUGGGAGGCAGUGGGUUGAAGGGCUCAGAAAUAGCUUUGCUCUAACUUUCCACUGAAAAAAUCCUAAUUCUCACCAGCCAUUCUCUAACCCUCAUCCUACAAAUCCCCACUGUGACCUCAGUGCACACAAACGCCUGCCCAAGACUCACCUGCCAUUCCAGUUCCCCUGCCCAUGAAAGAAGUUGAAAUCCAUGGAAGAACUUGAAAUCCACGAGUUACAUCUUUUGGACUGAUAAAAAAGGAUGGAGAGAAUGCCAGGCCACCUCUUUUCACCUGGAUCUUCAUUCAGCACCUUCCUGUGCUCAAGGAGGGAAAACUCACGUGAAGCAGGAAUGCAGAGGAGCUCAGGGUGCCCUUGCAGGUGAGGUGCAGGGGGAUGGCCCUGGCUCAGAGGGCAUGAGAGGGCAGAACCACCUCGGAUCAAAGAGCCAGAUCAUUGGCAAAUGUCCUGUGCUCCCUUCCUUUGCCACAGCCAAUGGCCCAGGGAGUUGUCAGGGAGAUGGGAAGGGAAACGUGCAGAGGAAAUGCCCAGUUGUGUUUUUGGGAGUUUUCUUAGAGGCACCAAAGAGUACAAAGCAGACCAGAGCAGGUGCUUUCUUCACCUUUCUCUGUUGUUUUUGGACAAAUUGUGGCUUUUUAUCACCCUAAAUCAGCAAAAUAUUGAUAUUAGAGUCCAUAAAGAACAGGAAAAGUAGGACCACCCAUGAGUGCAAUCAGGAUUCCACUCCCUGACCCUUCCAACACCUGUUUCCAAGCCUUGUACCUGCACAUAGCUGGAAGUCUUCAGGACUGAUAUUUCCUGGGCUCUGUCUCUGCCUCCAGGGGCAAAGCCCUUUCUCAGAGUGAGGAAUGGGUCUCAACAAGCUGAUGGCUCCUCCUGGAUGAAAACUGCCCUGGAGAAUUGCUGUCACCAUCCUGUGAAGAUCCCACUCUAAGAGCUUUCCAGCAGUGGGAUGGGAGCUCAGCAUCCCAUGGAAGAUCCCUGAGGAACUCGUCAGAGUCCAGCUCAGUGUCCAGUGAUUUGGAUCUGUUCUAUGUGGAAUCACCAUUUCCUCCCAUGGCCCAACUCCUGGCACGAGGAGGAAGGACUGUGUUGUGCUCCAAUCCACCAGUGUACAUUUACAUGCCACAAAUCUGUUUCGUUUCCCCCAUAUUUGUAGUAAAAUACUGCUGGAUCUUGGCACCUGGGCUGCCAGGUAUCAGAGCUCCUUAGUGCUGUCACUGCAGGCAAACACAACCCCAACCAUGCACCAUUAGCACUACAAAGUGACACAGCUGUAGCUGUAGCUGUGCUAAUACUCUGCACUCUAUGAUAAUUACAAAUGCUUUUCAUACAGACGCUUCUUUUUUUAAGAGAGAGAGAGAAUCCUGAACAGAUUCUGAGCUGGCAGCACUGCAUGAAAAUCUUCUGUUCCAGGGCUUGAGAAUCAGGAAUCCCAGACUGGUUUGGGUGGGAAGGAACCUUAAAGUUCAUCCUGUCCCACCCCUGCCAUGAUCAGGGACACCUUCCACUGUCCCAGGUUGCUCCAAACCCUGUCCAUCUACUCCAUUUGUUAUAAUAUUGAACAAAACCAGCAGAACAUUUCAUAGUUUCAGCCCUACCACCUGCCCAUAUGACCCUUACUCUGUCACACACUCAGCC